UGGGGAAUUUUGGACAAUGGGCGCAAGCCUGAUCCAGCAAUGCCGCGUGCAGGAUGAAGGCCUUCGGGUUGUAAACUGCUUUUGUACGGAACGAAAAGCCCUGGGUUAAUACCCUGGGGUCAUGACGGUACCGUAAGAAUAAGCACCGGCUAACUACGUGCCAGCAGCCGCGGUAAUACGUAGGGUGCGAGCGUUAAUCGGAAUUACUGGGCGUAAAGCGUGCGCAGGCGGUUUUGUAAGACAGAGGUGAAAUCCCCGGGCUCAACCUGGGAACUGCCUUUGUGACUGCAAGGCUAGAGUACGGCAGAGGGGGAUGGAAUUCCGCGUGUAGCAGUGAAAUGCGUAGAUAUGCGGAGGAACACCGAUGGCGAAGGCAAUCCCCUGGGCCUGUACUGACGCUCAUGCACGAAAGCGUGGGGAGCAAACAGGAUUAGAUACCCUGGUAGUCCACGCCCUAAACGAUGUCAACUGGUUGUUGGGUCUUAACUGACUCAGUAACGAAGCUAACGCGUGAAGUUGACCGCCUGGGGAGUACGGCCGCAAGGUUGAAACUUAAAUGAAUUGACGGGGUCAUAGCUGUUUCCU
This 585-nucleotide ribosomal RNA is filed under the name uncultured bacterium. RNAcentral describes it as "partial 16S ribosomal RNA". It matches the Rfam family "Bacterial small subunit ribosomal RNA", at positions 355 to 1375 of the family's 1533-position model. The record is from RNAcentral.